Molecule: ribosomal RNA, 618 nt
Filed under: Leuconostoc lactis
Lineage: Bacteria; Bacillati; Bacillota; Bacilli; Lactobacillales; Lactobacillaceae
Description: bacterial SSU rRNA
Rfam family: Bacterial small subunit ribosomal RNA
Source: RNAcentral
GGUGCUUGCACCUUUCAAGCGAGUGGCGAACGGGUGAGUAACACGUGGAUAACCUGCCUCAAGGCUGGGGAUAACAUUUGGAAACAGAUGCUAAUACCGAAUAAAACUUAGUAUCGCAUGAUACAAAGUUGAAAGGCGCUACGGCGUCACCUAGAGAUGGGUCCGCGGUGCAUUAGUUAGUUGGUGGGGUAAAGGCCUACCAAGACAAUGAUGCAUAGCCGAGUUGAGAGACUGAUCGGCCACAUUGGGACUGAGACACGGCCCAAACUCCUACGGGAGGCUGCAGUAGGGAAUCUUCCACAAUGGGCGAAAGCCUGAUGGAGCAACGCCGCGUGUGUGAUGAAGGCUUUAGGGUCGUAAAGCACUGUUGUAUGGGAAGAAAUGCUAGAAUAGGGAAUGAUUCUAGUUCGACGGUACCAUACCAGAAAGGGACGGCUAAAUACGUGCCAGCAGCCGCGGUAAUACGUAUGUCCCGAGCGUUAUCCGGAUUUAUUGGGCGUAAAGCGAGCGCAGACGGUUGAUUAAGUCUGAUGUGAAAGCCCGGAGCUCAACUCCGGAAUGGCAUUGGAAACUGGUUAACUUGAGUGUUGUAGAGGUAAGUGGAACUCCAUGGGUAGC